This 218-nucleotide ribosomal RNA is filed under the name uncultured bacterium. RNAcentral's name for it is "partial 16S ribosomal RNA". It matches the Rfam family "Bacterial small subunit ribosomal RNA", at positions 328 to 539 of the family's 1533-position model. The record is from RNAcentral.
ACGCUCGACACCUACGGGAGGUAGCAGUGAGGAAUAUUGGUCAAUGGACGCAAGUCUGAACCAGCCAUGCCGCGUGCAGGAUGACGGCUCUAUGAGUUGUAAACUGCUUUUGUACGAGGGUAAACGCAGAUACGUGUAUCUGUCUGAAAGUAUCGUACGAAUAAGGAUCGGCUAACUCCGUGCCAGCAGCCGCGGUAAUCUGAGCGGGCUGGCAAGGC